ACCGACCCCGCUCCCGUCUGCGGGAUAGCGCCUGCUCCCGCACCCGGCCGGGGGUCAGCGCCUGAUCCCGCACCUGGCAGCGGGAUAGCGCCUGAUCCCGCACACGGCCGGGGUUUAUCGCCCCCAGCAGUGGCCGGCUGAGUGAGGCCCGCUCCUGUGUGGGGCGCAGCCGUAGGCGGGGAGGAGCCGCUCUCCCGAAAGGAGCGCCUGGCACCAUGGCAAGGACAGCAUCUUUACAACAAGACAGCGCUGCUUUGCCAGCCAGGGCUCUGGCUUGGCUGCUGUCCGCCUGUGCAGGUUUUGAAUUAGCCAUCAUACCUGAUAUUUUUCCCCAAAUGAAGAUUCAGUGUAUGUAG
RNAcentral lists this long non-coding RNA (356 nucleotides) under Cyanistes caeruleus (blue tit). RNAcentral describes it as "lncRNA (ENSCCEG00000022785.1)". Lineage: Eukaryota; Metazoa; Chordata; Aves; Passeriformes; Paridae. The record is from RNAcentral.